Non-coding RNA from Biomphalaria pfeifferi, 240 nucleotides. Lineage: Eukaryota; Metazoa; Mollusca; Gastropoda; Planorbidae. The record is from the annotation of a GenBank genome assembly.
UAUAGCAAUAUCACAAGGUCCCCUGGACUCUUAAAGACCUUCCUUCAGGGAACAGAACCAGUAAAGGGACAGAGAAAGAGACGUGAACACAACAUUAAGGAAUAGACAGGCCUAUCAUUGAAAGAGAUUUUAUCCAAAGCAAGCGACAGAGAGGAAUAGAAAAAGAUGGUAGAUAGAUCACGUGUGGUGCCCCAAUGGUUCAACAGACAAAGUGAUAGGUGAAGGGGUGAACCUUUUUUU